CCCAGACUCCUACGGGAGGCAGCAGUGGGGGAUAUUGCACAAUGGGGGGAACCCUGAUGCAGCGACGCCGCGUGGGUGAAGGAGCGUUUCGGCGCGUAAAGCCCUAUCGGCAGGGAAGAAGGAGGACGGUACCUGACUAAGAAGCCCCGGCUAACUACGUGCCAGCAGCCGCGGUAAUACGUAGGGGGCAAGCGUUAUCCGGAUUUACUGGGUGUAAAGGGGGCGCAGACGGCAGCGCAAGCCAGGAGUGAAAGCCCGGGGCCCAACCCCGGGACUGCUCUUGGAACUGCGCGGCUGGAGUGCAGGAGGGGCAGGCGGAAUUCCUGGUGUAGCGGUGAAAUGCGUAGAUAUCAGGAGGAACACCGGUGGCGAAGGCGGCCUGCUGGACUGCGACUGACGUUGAGGCCCGAAAGCGUGGGGAGCAAACAGGAUUAGAUACCCGGGUAUU
This 448-nucleotide ribosomal RNA is filed under the name uncultured bacterium. RNAcentral's name for it is "partial 16S ribosomal RNA". It matches the Rfam family "Bacterial small subunit ribosomal RNA", at positions 330 to 794 of the family's 1533-position model. The record is from RNAcentral.